Molecule: RNA transcript, 4535 nt
Organism: Monodelphis domestica (gray short-tailed opossum)
Lineage: Eukaryota; Metazoa; Chordata; Mammalia; Didelphimorphia; Didelphidae
Gene name: histone H4
Source: RefSeq, a predicted model, not a curated record
UUCUGAACAUUUUUGAGCAAAGGACUUACAAGAAAGAUCCAUAAGUAAAAAAUAAUAUUCUGGAAUUAUACCGAAUUGAUUGGAGAGACUAGAGUAGAAAUGGGAAGAAAUAAUAAAACCAGUCCUAGGAAAGAAAAAGGAAUAGCAGAAAGGGGAGAGAUAAUAAUAACUACAUAGAACUUUACAAAUAUUAUAUCAUUUAUCUUCAGAACAACUCUGGAAGGCAGGUGGUAUUAUUAUCCUUAUUUUACGGAGGAGAAAACUGACCCUGAGAGAGAUUAAAUGAGUUACUCAACCAAUAAGGAUCAGAUGGCUAAUGUCUGAGUCUGGAUUAUGAACUCAUAUCUUCCUUUCUCCUUGUGCUGUAACCACUGGACGACCUCCCUGCUUUCUAGAUGUGAAGUACUUUGCUUCUGGAGUUUGGGGGAAGGAGUAACUGACUGGAUAAUGAGAAAUUAAAGAGAAAAUUAAAAAAUAGCUUUAAGGUUGCGAAUAUAUGAGUCUGAGUGAUAUGCCAUAGACAGAAAGAGUAAAAUCUGAAACCUUUUACUCAUACUCUUAUAACCCUUACUUUUCUGAUGUGGAAACUGUGGCCCAGCUAGUAAGUUGUAAAAGAUCCCAAGUUCUAGUCUUCAGAUCCAGCUUCCUUUCAGAGAGAGAGAGCAGUUGUUUGAUUUUUGUGUUUGUGAUUUUAAUUCCUAAUGUAGUAUUUUGUACUCAAUAAGCACUUCAUACUUGUGGAACUGAACCUAUGGCCUGAGACUGUAUAGAGGGGUCAGGAACCAAAGUUAGAAAGGUCUGAAUAGGAGAGGGGACAGAUAAAAGAGCACUAUUUCCUCUCUUAGGUAGGACUACACUAGGGAAGGGGAGAGGGUUUGACUAAGGUCCAGAACUGAAAGGUAAGAAGGAAAGUUCUUCAGACUCCGGUUUCUGGUUUCCUCCCCUAAUAGAUGAUUGUCCUGAUCUCCCCUAGAACAUUAGAAAGGAAGAUGGUCCUUUUUCCCUCUUUGGCUUUAACUACAAAUUGAGGCUCAGUCUCUGCUAAGUAAUAAUAACUUUAUUCUUUGAAAAUAUAUGGAAAUUGGAGUACAUGGAUAGAGGGGAAAAUGAAGAAAAUCCUACCAUUUUAUCCUAAAUUCCCUCUCAAGGGUUGAUGGCUCAGGUCUGGGGACCUGAAUCCCUGGAGAGAUAUAGAGUCAGGCUGUUGGACUACUGAUUUAGAGGGAUGUCAGUUGAAGAUCUUGAGUGGAUAGUCUCUUCUGUUCCCCACAGGGAAAAAGUCUCUAUCCUCUAAUGAAAAGAUGAUGACUAUGUUCUGAUUCACAUCAGCUAAUUGAAGGACCUUAACUGGUUGAGCUCAGAGUGAUGCUCUUCUCUCCUCCUUGCCAGAAGAGAAAGAACCCGGUCUCCAACUGCUGAUCUGCUUUUCUUGGCUAGAAGUUCUAGCCCCACCCCCCACUGACAGCAGAAUUCCAUCUUCUUUCUUCCUGGUGGUUUUUGGCAAACCAAGUCCUUGCAAUGCAGUCUGUAAUUCUCUCAUCCAUAAGACUCCAAAUAUAGCACUCUUUUUAGGAUACUCUGAAGAAUAGGGUUGGUUUUUGUUUUUGUUUUUGGAGGGAAGGGAACAUUUGUACUUGGGCAUGAUGUUUGAAGUGGGGUCAGAAAGAGGGGAUCCAGGUAGAUAUGCCUGUUAGGUGUUGUUGUAAGGAUAAAAGAUUAGCCUAGGAGAUCCUAUAGGACAGAAACAGGGCCAAGAUUCCAGAGCUCUGAAGAAGGCAGUUUCUGGGAGAUAGUUGCUUCUCUGGAGGAGACAGGGGAGUUGGUGGAGUUGCUCUCUGGAGAAGGAGACUUUUAAGUUGCCAGGAGACUGGGACUUUCCUUCAAACAAGUUUUCAUCUUCUGUAAGUGGUAGGGAGAAUGGUUAACAUUCCACACAGGUGGACUGUGUGAAUGAAUCCAAUUCUCCUCUUCCUGAUCCUGUGUGCUGCUGAUUUUCUACUGGGACUUCUGCCAGACCCAAGAGGACAUCAGUCUGUCAGACUUCCUUUGGCCCUUAUCCCUGUAUCUACAAGUCCUUCCUUAAUUUUAAUAUAGUAAUUAAGGAUUAAUUGGUAUAGUUUAGAAAGUAGAUUUAUAGGUAGUAAAAUCAUUGGUUAGUAGUACUCUGACUUUGGGGUUUUGCAACAAACUGAGUGGUGCACAGUGAGUGAUUGACAGGAGCAUGUGACUAAGAGUCACAUGGGAGCUUAAGGCUGCAGAUCUGGGGAAAGGUUCUAUGUCCCAACUGACACACUUCUUUCCUGGAAGGACCUUGAUUGGAAAGGCUUGAAAAUCAGUUUUCUGCUUCUUCAAAUAACAACUGAAGAGAGAAAAAUCUUUGAAUAUGGCUGCUGGCAGCUUGGGUAAAGAAGAUUGAAGACAAACUUCACUUCUGGACCUGUUUGGACACUAAUCAACUGAAGAUCCUGGCCCUUUUGAUUGGAUUCCAUUUGUGCAAUGAAUGAAAACAUCAGCCUUGUUGGUUUUCUACACUACAUAUUCCUGUUUGACAAGUCCAUAAGGACAUUCCAGGCCCACUGAGGCAAAAGCAGCCAGAAAAACACAUAUGAAGAUCUGCUUCAAGACUCUGGCAAGGACCAGUCUGACCUUACAUAUCUACAAAUCACUGUCUAAAGACUACUUGGCUUUCUUAAUUGGCUCAGAACAUCCUGACCAACCAACUUACUAUUACAAACCAUGAGCUCUAUCUCAGGGACAAGUGACUUUCAUGCAUAUCAACUAUGCCUUAGUGCUUUUGUACUUCUAAAGACAUCCAUAUGCCAUCAAUGACAGACCAAAAGAAGCUUUGAAGAUUACCAUUGGGUGAAGAGUAUUCCUAACUGCACCUGUAUACUCUAUUUGGCACAAAGGAUGUCUGCCCUUGAUAUCAUUUUCCUUUGAUCAUAAAGUGUAGGAACUGUAUCAAUAUUGGGCCUAUAUGCUCAAUGAAAUGGAAUCCACAAUCCCAUUCAUGGUCCCCUUCACCCUGCCAAUUUCUCAUCCACCUGAUAUUUCUCCCUCUUCUCCCUUUUUCCCUGAUCUGGUGUCUGGAGAGAAACAUUUCUUAUAACCUUUUGACAACUUUGGUCCAUUCUUUCCCUCUCUCUUGAACCCUCUCUUUCCAUCAUAGUCUUUAUGCUCAUACUUUUCUCUUUUCAGGAUGGUAUUAUGUCUGCUUUUGGAAGUUUGCCUUGCACUCAGGGGUGUUAUUCUUCUCAGGACUCUCAUUGCUACAGAUCUGGGGAUAGAUCUUCCAUUGCCACACAUCCCUUUAGAGACUAUGAACUGACUUAAUGAAUCAUCAUAAAUGUUAAAGGGGGUUCCAGUUGCUUGUAGUAGGAGUAAUAUUAUCUUAGUGUCACCCAAGGGAUCUGUCAAGAGAUCUGUAAGAGUCUUAGCUAAAUGCUACUUGGGUUCCUUUCUCCCAGAGUUGUAACUAGACAUUUUUUCACCUGAAACAGGAACCAUUUGGUGAUGGAGCUAGUGGUAGGUAGUAUGGGUACAGUCAUACUAGGAAAUUGGGUUGGUCAAACUUUUGCACAUACUUAGAUUUGAGGAGAUUCAAGAUAGACUAUAGUUAUUAGAAUGACUAAAAUAUGGUAGCUGCACCUCAUAUUGUAGUAUGCUGGUAGAGGAAUGAGGGGUUCAGAAAUCCUGGUUCCCAAGAAAGAUAAGCUCUUUGAGAUCAGUGAUGGUGGUGGUGGUGGUGAUAAGCCUUUAUUUCUAGUGUCUAACAUAGUAAAUAAGCACAUACUAGGUGCUUAGUGGAUGCUUGUUGGUUAAUUGACUGUGAAGAGCAUGUGAGAAAAAAUAGGUCUACCCACCUUCCCAGCAUCCAUCCAUCUGUAAUGAGGGAAGGAAAGAAAUGGCUUGCCAAUAGGUAGCAGAGAGGAGAGUUUGCAAAGAGGAACCUUGCUGCAUGCCAUGGAAUGAUAUAAGCUCAGUUCUGGAAUCUGGGACAUUAUAAAAAUAGACACAGAGAGAACUCUGGGCUUUUGGUUUCCUGUUUCUGGGAGAGCUUGAAGCUACUAUUUCCUGCUGCUUACCAUCUGUGUGAGUGAAGUGGGGGUUUGGUUUCUUAUCCUCAUGGAGCCUAAACUACCAAUCCUGCUGUCCAGUUUGAACAAGCCUGUCUACUAUUUAAUUUACUCAAGAUUCCAGCAUCCUGAGAGAAUGUUUCCAGCUGCUCUGAGCUCUGUGUCUGGCCAGCCAGUGACAGAAGACCAGGAGGCUUACAGCCAUCUUGGGUCUACCUGGCCAGGGUUGGUCCCUGAAAUAAAGGGUCAGCCUACCUGAUCUAAAGAACUAUUUACCUUACCAAAUUUAUCUGGGAGGAUUUUAAUCAGGUAGUAAGACAGAAAGGGAAAAUCUUAGACAGUCAGAGUAGUGAAUUAGGCAGCCAGAAGACCAGAAGAUAUCCCUUUGCAGGGGUUGGGCAUCCUAUUCCCUAAUCCAGUUUAUGGAGAUUCAAAUAAAACCCUGUCUUUGUUUUUUAA